This is a non-coding RNA of Mycena olivaceomarginata, 98 nucleotides long. The record is from the annotation of a GenBank genome assembly. NCBI's taxonomy places the organism in Eukaryota, Fungi, Basidiomycota, Agaricomycetes, Agaricales, Mycenaceae.
GACCUGGUAGUGUAUGGUAACACACCUGUUGCACAUGAGUCAUGACGCAGUGCCAGAUUAUUCGGCAGGAGAGCCCCGUUCGAUUCGGGGCCAGGUCA